UUAUAGUGGGGGAGUAGCCUUUCGAAAGGAAGAUUAAUACCGCAUAAGAUUGUAGUAUCGCAUGAUAUAGCAAUUAAAGGAGCAAUUCGCUAUAAGAUGGACCCGCGUCGCAUUAGCUAGUUGGUGAGGUAAUGGCUCACCAAGGCGACGAUGCGUAGCCGACCUGAGAGGGUGAUCGGCCACAUUGGGACUGAGACACGGCCCAGACUCCUACGGGAGGCAGCAUG
RNAcentral lists this ribosomal RNA (227 nucleotides) under uncultured bacterium. Its description in RNAcentral is "partial 16S ribosomal RNA". It matches the Rfam family "Bacterial small subunit ribosomal RNA", at positions 131 to 353 of the family's 1533-position model. The record is from RNAcentral.